GACGAACGCUGGCGGCGUGCUUAACACAUGCAAGUCGAACGGUGAAGCGCCUUCCUUUUUGGUGGGUGUGGAUGAGUGGCGAACGGGUGAGUAACACGUGAGUAACCUGCCCCCUUCUUCUGGAUAACCGCAUGAAAGUGUGGCUAAUACGGGAUAUUCUGGUUCUGUCGCAUGAUGGGUCUGGGAAAGAUAUUGUUUCGGUGGGGGAUGGGCUCGCGGCCUAUCAGCUUGUUGGUGGGGUGAUGGCCUACCAAGGCGGUGACGGGUAGCCGGCCUGAGAGGGUGGACGGUCACACUGGGACUGAGACACGGCCCAGACUCAUACGGGAGGCAGCAGUGGGGAAUAUUGCACAAUGGGCGCAAGCCUGAUGCAGCGACGCCGCGUGAGGGAUGGAGGCCUUCGGGUUGUGAACCUCUUUCGCCAGUGAAGCAGGCCUGCCUCGUUUGUGGGUGGGUUGACGGUAGCUGGAGAAGAAGCGCCGGCUAACUACGUG
This 494-nucleotide ribosomal RNA is filed under the name uncultured bacterium. Its description in RNAcentral is "partial 16S ribosomal RNA". It matches the Rfam family "Bacterial small subunit ribosomal RNA", at positions 28 to 507 of the family's 1533-position model. The record is from RNAcentral.